GUGUGGAUGGUGUUCAGUAUCAAGGACAGGCAUGUUUACCUGUGUGUGGAUGGUGUUCAGUAGCAGGGACAGGUGUGUUUAUAC
Molecule: microRNA precursor, 84 nt
Filed under: Branchiostoma floridae (Florida lancelet)
Lineage: Eukaryota; Metazoa; Chordata; Leptocardii; Amphioxiformes; Branchiostomatidae
Description: mir-2060 microRNA precursor family
Rfam family: mir-2060 microRNA precursor family
Source: Rfam by way of RNAcentral